GUAGUACUCCCUUCGUCCCAAAAUUCUUGUCUUAAAUUUGUUUAAAAAUGAAUGUAUCUAAACACUAUAACAUGACUAGAUACAUUCAUAUCUAGACAAAUCUAAGACAAAAUUUUUGAAACGAAGGGAGUAGUAG
Non-coding RNA from Hordeum vulgare subsp. vulgare (domesticated barley), 136 nucleotides. The record is from Rfam. NCBI's taxonomy places the organism in Eukaryota, Viridiplantae, Streptophyta, Magnoliopsida, Poales, Poaceae.